RNAcentral lists this ribosomal RNA (468 nucleotides) under uncultured bacterium. RNAcentral describes it as "partial 16S ribosomal RNA". It matches the Rfam family "Bacterial small subunit ribosomal RNA", at positions 28 to 507 of the family's 1533-position model. The record is from RNAcentral.
GACGAACGCUGGCGGCGUGCUUAACACAUGCAAGUCGAACGGAAAGGCCCUGCUUUUGUUGGGUGCUCGAGUGCCGAACAGGUGAGUAACACGUGAGUAACCUGCCCUUGACUUUCUGAUAACUUCAGGAAACUGCGGCUAAUACCGGGUAGGAGCUCCUGCUGCAUGGUGGUGGUUGGAAAGUGUCGGCGGUUGGGGCUGGUUUGGCGGCUUAUCAGCUUGGUGGUGUGGUAGGUGCGUACCAGGGCUAUGACGGGUAGCAGGCAUGAGAGCGUGACCGGCCACAUGGGGACUGAGAGAGGGCGCAGACUCCUACGGGAGGCAGUAGUGGGGAACAUGGCACAAUGAGCGGAAGCCUGAGGUAGCAACGUUGCGUGCGGGAUGACGGCCUUUGGGGUGUAAACCGCUGUCGCCGGUGACGAAGCCGUCGUGACGGUAAUGGGUAAAGAAGCACCGGCUAACUACGUG